GACGAACGCUGGCGGCGUGCUUAACACAUGCAAGUCGAACGAUGAAGCCGGAGCUUGCUCCGGUGGAUUAGUGGCGAACGGGUGAGUAACACGUGAGCAAUCUGCCCUUGACUCUGGGAUAACUGCGGGAAACUGUAGCUAAUACCGGAUACGACACCUUGGGGCAUCCCAGGGUGUGGAAAGAAUUUCGGUCAAGGAUGAGCUCGCGGCCUAUCAGCUAGUUGGUGAGGUAAUGGCUCACCAAGGCGACGACGGGUAGCCGGCCUGAGAGGGUGACCGGCCACACCGGAACUGAGACACGGUCCAGACUCCUACGGGAGGCAGCAGUGGGGAAUAUUGCACAAUGGGCGAAAGCCUGAUGCAGCAACGCCGCGUGAGGGAUGAAGGCCUUCGGGUUGUAAACCUCUUUUAGCAGGGAAGAAGCGAAAGUGACGGUACCUGCAGAAAAAGCACCGGCUAACUACGUGCCAGCCGCCGCCGCAG
RNAcentral lists this ribosomal RNA (483 nucleotides) under uncultured bacterium. RNAcentral describes it as "partial 16S ribosomal RNA". It matches the Rfam family "Bacterial small subunit ribosomal RNA", at positions 28 to 523 of the family's 1533-position model. The record is from RNAcentral.